UGGCUCAGUGGUAGAGUACUUGCCUGGCAAGCAUGAGGCCCUGGGUUCGAUUCCUCAG
Molecule: transfer RNA, 58 nt
Filed under: Dipodomys ordii (Ord's kangaroo rat)
Lineage: Eukaryota; Metazoa; Chordata; Mammalia; Rodentia; Heteromyidae
Rfam family: tRNA
About the family: Transfer RNA (tRNA) molecules are approximately 80 nucleotides in length. Their secondary structure includes four short double-helical elements and three loops (D, anti-codon, and T loops). Further hydrogen bonds mediate the characteristic L-shaped molecular structure. tRNAs have two regions of fundamental functional importance: the anti-codon, which is responsible for specific mRNA codon recognition, and the 3' end, to which the tRNAs corresponding amino acid is attached (by aminoacyl-tRNA synthetases). tRNAs cope with the degeneracy of the genetic code in two manners: having more than one tRNA (with a specific anti-codon) for a particular amino acid; and 'wobble' base-pairing, i.e. permitting non-standard base-pairing at the 3rd anti-codon position.
Source: Rfam by way of RNAcentral